Felis catus (domestic cat) is the source of this 85-nucleotide transfer RNA. It matches the Rfam family "tRNA". Rfam says of the family: Transfer RNA (tRNA) molecules are approximately 80 nucleotides in length. Their secondary structure includes four short double-helical elements and three loops (D, anti-codon, and T loops). The record is from Rfam. NCBI's taxonomy places the organism in Eukaryota, Metazoa, Chordata, Mammalia, Carnivora, Felidae.
GCCUGGGUGGCUCAGUCGGUUGAGCGUCCGACUUCGGAUCAGGUCAUGAUCUCACGGUUUGUGGGUUCGAGCCCCGCAUCGGGCU